AUUGAACGCUGGCGGCAGGCUUAACACAUGCAAGUCGAGCGGGGUGAUGGUGCUUGCACUAUCACUUAGCGGCGGACGGGUGAGUAAUGCUUAGGAAUCUGCUAUUAGUGGGGGACAACAUCUCGAAAGGGAUGCUAAUACCGCAUACGUCCUACGGGAGAAAGCAGGGGAUCACUUGUGACCUUGCGCUAAUAGAUGAGCCUAAGUCGGAUUAGCUAGUUGGUGGGGUAAAGGCCUACCAAGGCGACGAUCUGUAGCGGGUCUGAGAGGAUGAUCCGCCACACUGGGACUGAGACACGGCCCAGACUCCUACGGGAGGCAGCAGUGGGAAUAUUGGACAAUGGGGGGAACCCUGAUCCAGCCAUGCCGCGUGUGUGAAGAAGGCCUUAUGGUUGUAAAGCACUUUAAGCGAGGAGGAGGCUCUUUUGGUUAAUACCCAAGAUGAGUGGACAUUACUCGCAGAAUAAGCACCGGCUAACUUCGUGCCAGCAGCCGCAGUAA
This 501-nucleotide ribosomal RNA is filed under the name uncultured bacterium. Its description in RNAcentral is "partial 16S ribosomal RNA". It matches the Rfam family "Bacterial small subunit ribosomal RNA", at positions 30 to 523 of the family's 1533-position model. The record is from RNAcentral.